RNAcentral lists this ribosomal RNA (463 nucleotides) under uncultured bacterium. RNAcentral's name for it is "partial 16S ribosomal RNA". It matches the Rfam family "Bacterial small subunit ribosomal RNA", at positions 28 to 507 of the family's 1533-position model. The record is from RNAcentral.
GAUGAACGCUGACAGAAUGCUUAACACAUGCAAGUCGAUGGGGAAGUGGUGCUUGCACCAUGGUAACCAUGGCGGACGGGUGAGUAACGCGUAAGGAACUUACCUGCGGGACCGGGAUAACAGCAGGAAACUGCUGACAAGACCGGAUAAGGUCAUUAAGCUGCAUAGCUUAGUGAUGAAAGGAGACGCCUGCGGAGAGCCUUGCGUCCUAUUAGCUAGUUGGAGGGGUAACGGCCCACCAAGGCGAAGAUAGGUAGCCGGCCUGAGAGGGUGGACGGCCACAAGGGGACUGGGAUGCGGCACUGACUACUACGGGAGGCAGCAGUGGGGAAUAUUGGACAAUGGGGGCAACCCUGAUCCAGCAAUUCGGUGUGCACGAAGACGGUUUUCGGAUUGUAAAGUGCUUUCAGCAGGGAAGAAGGAAGUGACGGUACCUGCAGAAGAAGCGACGGCUAAAUACGUG